Arabidopsis lyrata subsp. lyrata is the source of this 583-nucleotide long non-coding RNA. RefSeq lists it as uncharacterized. The transcript has 2 exons. NCBI's taxonomy places the organism in Eukaryota, Viridiplantae, Streptophyta, Magnoliopsida, Brassicales, Brassicaceae. The record is from RefSeq and is a predicted model, not a curated record.
AGGAAGAGUGAGCGGUUGAAGUUUGGUGAAAGGAGAGAGAGAGACAGACCAGACACGUUUUGGUAGAAUAGAGUUUCGACGUAUCCAAUCAUUUCCAAAGGUAACGAAAAUUUCAGGGAUUGUAGGUAAGACUUAUAUCUAGUUGUGGCCUUUUACGGAUAUUGAUUUGAGUCAAUAUUCUAAGAGUUAUCUCUUUUUUCGUGAGCUAUUCUGUUUCAGACGCGUUUUGGAUCGGUGUGUAUUCAAAGAGAGAUCGUGAGGGAACCCUUUGUCUGAACGUUACGAAAUUUUGUGGUUAGCAAAUCAGGACAUUUAGGAGAAGCUAUUCAACAGUGGGAUUUGAAAUUGGAUGGGUGAUUUGAGUUACUGUUGACGUGAGGAAAAAGACAACUGUGGUUGUGUGGUGUUGUUCUUUGUUCAAAAAUCAUCCCUAAGCCGAGGUGAGUGCGUGACCAUGAGAUUGUUUGUUGUGACGUGUAGGUUGGAUUUUUGAUGGAUCCAGAAUUGAAAUCCGUGAGAUGGUUGUGUUAUUGGAUGAUUGUCAUUGGUUUUGUUUAUUUUCAUGAAUUAUGUGUUGAUUUGU